CCACAACACGUUGAAACACAGGUUCCCGUACAAUCACCGAAGUUUAGCAACCUCGAGCCUAGUCAGUACUUAGAUGGGUGACCGCUUGGGAAUACCAGACACUGUAA
Non-coding RNA from Acanthosepion pharaonis, 107 nucleotides. The record is from the annotation of a GenBank genome assembly. NCBI's taxonomy places the organism in Eukaryota, Metazoa, Mollusca, Cephalopoda, Sepiida, Sepiidae.